Long non-coding RNA from Prionailurus viverrinus (fishing cat), 518 nucleotides. RefSeq lists it as uncharacterized. The record is from RefSeq and is a predicted model, not a curated record. The transcript has 3 exons. NCBI's taxonomy places the organism in Eukaryota, Metazoa, Chordata, Mammalia, Carnivora, Felidae.
AGGUCAACGUGGCUGCCAGAGCAUUUCUUCCUUUCCCAGAAGUGCCCUCCAUGUUGUACCCUGUGGGCUGCCCUUUAUCACCAUCCAUGGGCUUUGGGCCACCCCCACUUUCUCCAAGCUGGUGACCUCUAGGACCUCACCCUCCACCUCCACCAUCUGGGAAGAUGAUCUGAACAGUAGGAGUUAACUUAGAAAACACGUUUUGUCUUUCUUCUUGUUGAGUCUUUGGAGAAGAUGCAGUGAUGGUACCACAUGGCUUUCAGUCUAUGCAAGUCAGAAUCACCUCCAUCCACCUCCAGCCUUUAUGAGACGCAGGACAUGGUACAGCUCCCAUGGGGAACAUCAGUUCUGUCUCUACCAAGGAUGCAGAGAAAUACAAGCCUCCAGGCUUCUCCAGUUUAAGAUCAUCAUGGUAGCUGGCACCUCUGGAAGCCACAAGUGCGUCGAGGCUGAGGACCACGUGGCUCUCACUUUGUGUUUGUGGAAAUAACUUGAGGAGGAUCACACGUCACUGUACC